GCAGUGAAUUUUUGUAGAGAUGGGGUUUCGUUAUGUUGGCCAAGCUGGUCUUGAACUCCUAGGCUAAGCAAUCGGCCUCCCAAAGUGUUGGGAUUACAGGCAUGAGCCACUGCACCAGGCCACACAUGCUUAUCUUACUCAGUCUUGCCCCUGAAUACCCAGAAGGCCUAAACUUAGGAAAAAGUCAGGGGAGGGAUGAGUUUAUCAUUCUUUGCACUCAAGCACAAAGUGCUUUGGAGUCGUUAUAUUUGGGUGAGUGCUUGCACUAUGAGUAGGAUAUUAUUUAGAAGCUGAGUUGUGUGCUGAGCAAAUACUUCUUUAAAAAUCAAAGCUGUAUGAAGAGAUCUGUUCUAGAGUCACAGUGUGGCUAAAUAGUGUGCUAUAAGAUAAGCAUAGGGCUCCUGAGGUGGUGCUGUUCUCCCACUGUAAUGAGUUUACUGUUCUUGCUAAGGAAAGUGAUCCUUUAUCAACCUCUCCUCUCAAAUGAACUGGCUUGUUUCCUGAGUGUGCCUUCAUGGAACCAUGUCUCCUCUUCCCUCAGUUCUCUCCUUCCCUCCCUUAUGUAUGACUCCUCCCAUAAUGCACACACAUGGAUUGAACCAAGUGAGGAUAUUUAUCUGCUUCCUACCUCAUAGAAGGGCAUAGAGUGGACAGGGUCUAAGGUUAGUUCCUGAACUGAGCACCCACACAUGCAGAACUUUAUUUAAAGCUGCUGAAACUUUUGUAUAACAGAUAGAUCAAUAGGACUGAAAACUGAUGGUUUUACCUGCUUGUUGAACGUGAUUAAGUUCCAUGGCACCAUUUUAAAAUUGUGCUGUAUAGUUUUUGUAUGUUGCUUAAGAAGCAGUUUAGCCUAAUGGUUAAAAGCAUGGUCUCUGGAACUAGAUUUCCUCUGUAUGCCUCAGUUUCCUCAUCUGGGAAUAAUAAUAGUUCUACCUCAUGGGGUUGUUAUGAGGAUUAAAUAAUUUAAUUAAAUGAUUUCAUACAACUCUGAAUUGUACUUGACACUUAGUACUCAAAUAUUAACUGGGCCCAUCAUUAUCAUUACAGAUGUUGUUUACAAGCACUUGCCUUUGAGAUUUGUUUAGCUUUUUUAUUAAAUUAUGAGCAGCAUAGUAGAACAAUACAUAGGCUUGGGCCUGGAAUCAGAUUCUAGCUUUGCCUGUUACUAGUUUUGAAACUUUGAGUAAAUUACUUGAUGUGUCUGAGUUUUAAUAUUCUUAUAUGUAAAUUAUUUUUUAAAAGGAUUUUGCUUAGUGUUGAUAUACACACAUUUAACACAGUUAUGGAAAUUAUUAUUUUUACUAUUGUCAUAGAUAAGAAAUUAGCCCCUGGGUUGCUGGAGGGUGGUAAUGGUUAGGCAAACUCUCUUUGAAGUCUGCUUGAUCUGGCCUCUUGCAGGCAUGUACUCCGAAAUAUUUUUCAAAUGGAAAAGAAGGCAGAGAACACAAUUUUCAAAAUAUCUAGAGGCCUCCGAGAAGUCUUUGUAGAGAUCUAUAAAAUCUCAAGGCAAUUUAAAGGACAAGAAUCUCCAAAGGUUAAAAGGAAAACAUACUGGCACUGCCCAAAGAGGACAGCCCUGUCAUUGGUGGUACGUGGACAUCACCGAGUGACACGCAGCAUCUCCUUCAUGUGUGAUGGGCAUGGGGGCCAGAGCUAGGCUGCAAAUUCUCCUCUGGAAGACCAUUGUGUCAAAAGAGCAGGCUGGACUCAAACUCCUGGGCUCAAGUGGCACCACUGCACCCAGCAAAAACCUUAACAGAAAGGAAAUAAGCCAUGGCUACUAAAAAUUAAGAAUAGUUAUUAUCCACAAGAGGUGCUCGCUGCCUCUUCGCAGAAGUGAUUCUCAGCCAGAGACCUCAGUAUUUGGAGAAGAGACCUCUUAUCUAUUCCCCAGGGGUCUCAGACCAUUCAAAUCAAAGGAGAACAGUUGAUAACCUUAGAAUUAAUGGAAGGAGUGUCUGCUAAGCAAACAACCACAGAGAGAUGUUUUCUUUGAAAAUUCAGCUUUAUUAUUUGGCCAUGUUAUGAAUCGGGCUGCCUUGGGAAGUAGUGAGUUUCCCUUCCCUGGACUCACAGAUUCAGACAUCAGAUGGCUAGAUGGACUGCACGACUUUGAAGAACCUUUCCCACAAUGUCUCUGAUUCUAAAGCAAAGCCUGCCCAGAAUUACAAAGUGUCACAAUGCCUGUGGGCAAUAGAGCAGCAGAGACUGGGCUUCAGCCAGAACACCUAGUUCUCUGGGAGCAUAAUAUCAGCCUGGAACAUCUUGCACCUUGAAUGGUGAAGCUGUGUCUUCUAAGACUUUCAUAAAAAGGUGAUCCAUGGAGCGCGUUACUCAGCAAUGCCCUCGUUUAUUCUCUCUUUUCAAUUCUAAGACCUAAGAAUGGAAAGCACUAAGGGAAUGUCAGAGUCACACAAAAAGGGAAGGGCCAGAAUCCUGGUUUCCAGUCAAGGCUGAACCUCCAGCUUUCCCUCUCUAUAAACAGAUGGAGUUGUCUUGAGCUGAAGAUACUUUCUAACUACUUUCUGCCCAUAGCAACAGUCCAAUAAAAACCUUCACUGAAUAGAAACUCAUGUGCAAUAUUAGAGCAAGAUGAACUCAGAAUAAGACAGAAAAGAAACUAAAUAAAGAAGAGAAUGGCAAAAGAGCAGAAAAUAAAGAACUGAAGAGGCAAAGUAGAGAAAAUAAGAAAAUGAAGGGAGUUUUUUUUUUUUUUUAAGUCUACUCUGAAUGUAUGAGAUGUAGAGAGGCUUAACGUUUAAAAACUGCAAAGAAAGAAAGAUGGUAACAUGCAUUACAUACUAAGAAAGCUACACAAAAGAGAGUAGGGUUAAAAAAAGUUAUAAAUCUCCAUAAUUUAACUAAGAUUAUCUGAUGAGAACAUCCACAAGAGAUGCUAGCUGCCUCUUUGCAAAGUAAUUCUCAGCCAGAGACCUCAGUAUUUGGAGAGAUGGCCUGUCUAUUCCCCAGGGAUCCUAGACCACCCACAUUAAAGGAGAAUAGUUGAUAACCUCAUCAUUAGAAGCAAGGCUUCGUUGAGCCACCAUAGGACCUUUACACUUGCCUUUUCUUGGAGGACUCCCUUCUUCCUCCCUUCACUACUCUCCAUUUCCUGCUUGUCGUUACUCUAAUUACUCUUACUGUUAUUUUGCGAUGGUUGGUCUGGAGGACCUUCAAAAUCCCUUCCAACCCUCUGAGUCCACAAUUCUCUACUUCUGCUUUCAGAAGUACUCCCUACUGUUGCCUUUACUGGGAUCUGAGGUCCAGGGAAUAGUGUAGCGGUAUGUGAUGGGCACAGGGAUCACUCACGUGAUAGCUUGUGCACAUUGCCAUGGCUCAGCUAUCUCGCUGCUGGUGGAAAUAAUCUCGAAGAGUUGGUUCCAGGUCCAUGAAGAGGUUGCUUGGUAUCAGACAGUAGUCACCACUUGAAGCAGAAGCCAUGUUUCAAAGCAGCUGAGAGUUAUUUUAUUAAUGACAAUAAGGGUGAUGAACUAAGUAAUUUGAUGAGCACUUAAAGACAAAAUCAUAGAACCUGCCCCUGAGGAAUUCACAAACCAAAUGUGGCAAGUCUAGGUCCUACACAUUCAUAAUAAUCAUCGCUGCCUGGUACUGAGCACCUUCCAGGUGCUGGGUGCUGCUAAGCAUGUGAACUUUGCCAAGUUAUUUAAUCCUCAUAACAUCCAAAUGAAGCAAGUACUGUUGUCAUCCCCACCUUACAAAUGAGGUAGUGGAAGCCCAAAGAUUGCAUAGUUUACUGCUAUCAGUCAGCUUGUGACAGAUUGGGAUUCAAAUAAUAUAUGCUUGGAGGCACGUUACUAGGCUGCCUUCAUAAGUCCCCUUUUUGCAUCAAACAAAAUCCAUUUAAUGACUCAAGAUUGACUGCAAGAGAACUGAGGUCCCCAGAUUCACCUCACUCUGAUUUUAACACUACUUUCAAGAACUGAUGCUUGGGGCCUGCUCCUAUGAGUCCUUUCUCACCAUGUCAUCUGUGAUCCAAUCUGCUUUAACCUGUCUGUUCUCUUACCUGUCUGAACCUGCAGAUGCCCACACUGAGGGAUUCUCAGCCCUGGAAUCCUCCAUGUCUUCCCCUCACUUCACCAAUCUAUCCACAACCCUGACUGCAUCAAGCCUUCAUAGCAAUGGCAAUGUUCCCCAAAACUGACUGCAGAUGCCUGUGACCUUUGGGAUUCCCACCUGUGCUACUUGUCCUGUUCUUAAAUCAAAUGAAUGACCAAGUCAGGGAUCAUAAACCAUCUUCAAGACAAGAAGUCCUGCUCUCCAGCAUCUUGUCCCCUGAUUCUAGCAUGAUGUCUUCUUUUUAACUACUUUCUGCCCAUAGGAAGAGUCCAAUAAAAAACUUCACUUGGCCUCUA
Macaca mulatta (Rhesus monkey) is the source of this 4376-nucleotide non-coding RNA. The record is from RefSeq and is a predicted model, not a curated record. Lineage: Eukaryota; Metazoa; Chordata; Mammalia; Primates; Cercopithecidae.